This 302-nucleotide ribosomal RNA is filed under the name Vibrio vulnificus NBRC 15645 = ATCC 27562. RNAcentral's name for it is "bacterial SSU rRNA". It matches the Rfam family "Bacterial small subunit ribosomal RNA", at positions 8 to 306 of the family's 1533-position model. Lineage: Bacteria; Pseudomonadati; Pseudomonadota; Gammaproteobacteria; Vibrionales; Vibrionaceae. The record is from RNAcentral.
AGAGUUUGAUCAUGGCUCAGAUUGAACGCUGGCGGCAGGCCUAACACAUGCAAGUCGAGCGGCAGCACAGAGAAACUUGUUUCUCGGGUGGCGAGCGGCGGACGGGUGAGUAAUGCCUGGGAAAUUGCCCUGAUGUGGGGGAUAACCAUUGGAAACGAUGGCUAAUACCGCAUGAUAGCUUCGGCUCAAAGAGGGGGACCUUCGGGCCUCUCGCGUCAGGAUAUGCCCAGGUGGGAUUAGCUAGUUGGUGAGGUAAGGGCUCACCAAGGCGACGAUCCCUAGCUGGUCUGAGAGGAUGAUCA